CUUUGCUUGGCACUUCCGCUUCCUGCCGCCCUGUGAAGAGGGUGCCUUUCUUUCCCUUCGCCUUCUACCAGGAUUGUUAAGUUUCCUGAAGCCUUCCCAGCCACGUGGAACUGUACUAAGACAUUUGAGAGAUGAGAGAAAGCAAAGGAAAAAACAACCAAAGGAAUACAUACUUGUUAAAAUCUACUUGAGUUCUAUUGAAGAGCUGUUGUUUCAGAAACUGCACUGGAGAAGAUAUUUAUUGCCAUCAUAAAUGGAAUCUUCCAUCAUAUCUUCUAACUAGUUGUUGCUUGAUGGACAUGCGUCUUGUGACUAUGAGGUGACAAUGAUGUUAAUGACAUCUGAGUGGAAAGAAGAUGAAGCCUAGAUUCCUGAACACAUUCAGACCUGCCACAGCAACCUAGCUCUGAACUCCCUUCAAGUAAGACAAAAUUUCACUCUUGUGGCCCAGGCUGGAGUGCAAUGGCGUGAUCUCAGCUCACUGCAACUUCUACCUCUCGGAUUCAAGUGAUUCUCCUGCCUCAGCCUCCCAGGUAGCUGGGUUUACAGGAAUGAAAUGGACGUUCUUACUCAUCAUACCAUAAGCAUCCAGGUGAAUGAUUGCUCACUUCUUUCAUCUAAUGAGGAAUUGGCUUUCUUGAGAAUCUCAAUGCAGUGUACCUCCAACCUUAACAGACUGCUGUAAAACACCCUGACCAUUCUUUAGUAUAAGCACUGAAGAAGACAGUAUGUUGACCACGAGGCACCUGGCCUGGCUCAUAGUAUGCCAUCAAGAAAUGCUAAUUUUCUAUUUCCUCUUUUUCAAAGAGUUAUUUCAAGAAAGAAAGGAGAGGAGAGGAUGUUACAAAUUCCAUGUAAAUAAAAUUUGUCACUAAUUCUGUGAACUAAUUGAUAUCAUAAUUUGAUUCUCUUACCUCUUUUUAAUCUCUCUAUUAGUCCAUUUUUAUGCUGUGAAUAAAGACAUACCUGAGACUGGGCAAUUUACAAAAGAA
RNAcentral lists this long non-coding RNA (992 nucleotides) under Homo sapiens (human). Its description in RNAcentral is "HSALNT0271403". The record is from RNAcentral. Lineage: Eukaryota; Metazoa; Chordata; Mammalia; Primates; Hominidae.